GAAAUGAGUCUGCCUCGACCCAACUUCCACUCUAAAUGGUGAAUUGAUGCUCAUUUCCCAAAAGGGCUGACUUAUGAGAGAAAAGAGAAGUCAACAAGGUCUUGUCUCUGCAUUGUUUGAGGUGACUACAUCUCAACCAAAUGGUAACAAUUGUAGAAUGGGGAUGGGUGUGGUGCACAAAGAACCAUCUCAUCAAUGGUGUUGAAACUGCAUUAACAUGGAGAGAUAGGGAGAACAGCUGGGUCAACAGCCAAGGAGCAACUUCAUUAACAUCUAAAGGCAACAUCAAAAACAGUAUAAAGGUUUGAGUUUAAGAAUGUUCAGGGUUCAUUCUGACUCCGGUGAACCCAAGGUACUGCCAUGUAUUUUGAGACUGCUAUGCUGAAUAAACAUCUUCAUUGAGAUUUUCUUCGUCAUCAUCAUUUUUUCUUACACUGGCGAGUCAUCCAGCGAGGACUUCCAAAACAACAAAGGAGAGAAAGAUUGAAAGGUGUGGUGAAAGAUGAUCCAGUCAUGGGUGAGACAGGCCAGUAUGACCACGAGGAGAUUAUGCAAAGAACAAGGUUCUUCAAGAGAACAGAGAGAUCCAGAACCCCAGGCCCAGUAUUGAUCAGAACUUUCAAGCCCGGAUGAGAGCCAGAAACCAAAAAAACCUUGAUCACAGAAACCAAACAGAGAUCCAAAGCUCCAGGUCCAGCAUCAAUUAGAAUUGUCAAGACCCAGAUUACAUCUAGAAACUCAGAGAUGGUGAAGAUAAUCAAGAAACCAAGAGAUGCCAAUGAGAUUAAGAACCAAGAGAUGUUGGGAUGCUGAUGAAGUUCUAGAAACCCAGAGACACAGAAAAGUUGGAACAGCACAAAUGGAAUACCAGUGACUGCUUUUUCAAGUGAGAUUUGUUGUCCAGAUGGAAGAGACUGAACAGUGGAUAAGAAAAAGAGAAGAUAAAACCAUUUUUAGAAACUUGGAAGUUAAUGAAAACAAAUGGUAAAAAUACGGACCCACAUUGAAGGCCAAAAGCCUAAGGCCACAGACUGACAUAUGAAGAAACGAAUACAUACAUACAUGCAUACAUACAUGCAUACAUACAUACAUACAUACAUACAUACAUACAUACAUACAUACAUACAUACAUACAUACAGAUAGAUUAUAUAUUGCUGUACAACAAAUGCAAAAGUGUGGAUGUCAUCAGUAUGUCCACACUGGGAAAAAAAAAAAAAAAAAAGGUUGCAUACGGUAAUGUAGAGCAUAUGUUACUGUCCUUGAAUGCACACUUGGAUAAAAAUGUCCAUGCUGAAAAAAAGUGGACACAAUGUGUUUAAAAAAAAAAAAAAAACACAGGAAACUUUUCACAAACAAAUGUUUGUUGUGUAGGGAGUGUACAUUUGUUAUCUAGUGGAUGCGAAUGUGGUGUAGUUAAUAUGAAUGUUUAAUGAUUCUAAUGUUUGAUUUUAAUGUGGAUUUUAAUGAGGAUGUUAACACUGUCGACACAUAAAAAAAAUAAGAAAAAAAGGGAAAUGCUUGCACUCACAAAUACUUGUUGUGUAGUAAAUGUUCAUGUGGUGUAGUUAAUGCAAUGUUUAAUGUUUUUAUGGUGUGAUUUUUCAAUGUGGAUUUCACUUGGAUUUUAAUGAGGAUUUGUACGCUGAUAAAAUAGACACAGUGAGAAAAAAAAGAACAAUGCUUGCAAAAAAUGGACAAUACUAUGCAAUGGUUGUCCAUAUGAAAAAAAUGUACAUGCUAAGAAAAUGAACGAGAAGAAACGAUACUUGCAUACAAGCAUGCAGACACACAAGUACGCACGCACGCACACACUCACACACACACACACAAUUUUCUCUAUUGAUUGAUGUUCUUGCUCCUUUGGCUUUUGGCUGUAGUACUUUUUAGACUGAUACAGUAGAACAUUAGAUGUCAUGGUUCUCAUGUGCUCCUGUCCUAAACCCAAGAAAUUACUUAUAUUUUAUAGUUCCAAAUUUGAAGAAGAGACUAUGACAACUUGCCUAAUUGGAUGGAGCAAUAACCAGUGUGCAUGAGGUGAUGACCCCAAGACGGGUAAGAUUCUUUGGUGCCCAGCCAAGAACAACCUAAGCCAGGGCUUUACCGCCACUGGGCACCUGCCCAUGAAGGGAGGUGUAAUGUGUGAAAGAGUGGUUGUGAUGCUUCUUUCUGGGCCAAAGAGCAUCAGAGAGGGGACUGUAAGAAAUGAGUCUGCCUCGACCCAACUUCCACUCUAAAUGGUGAAUUGAUGCUCAUUUCCCAAAAGGGCUGACUUAUGAGAGAAAAGAGAAGUCAACAAGGUCUUGUCUCUGCAUUGUUUGAGGUGACUACAUCUCAACCAAAUGGUAACAAUUGUAGAAUGGGGAUGGGUGUGGUGCACAAAGAACCAUCUCAUCAAUGGUGUUGAAACUGCAUUAACAUGGAGAGAUAGGGAGAACAGCUGGGUCAACAGCCAAGGAGCAACUUCAUUAACAUCUAAAGGCAACAUCAAAAACAGUAUAAAGGUUUGAGUUUAAGAAUGUUCAGGGUUCAUUCUGACUCCGGUGAACCCAAGGUACUGCCAUGUAUUUUGAGACUGCUAUGCUGAAUAAACAUCUUCAUUGAGA
Non-coding RNA from Danio rerio (zebrafish), 2604 nucleotides. NCBI's taxonomy places the organism in Eukaryota, Metazoa, Chordata, Actinopteri, Cypriniformes, Danionidae. The record is from RefSeq and is a predicted model, not a curated record.